UACGUAGGGGGCAAGCGUUGUCCGGAAUCAUUGGGCGUAAAGCGCGUGUAGGCGGUUCGGUAAGUCCGCUGUGAAAGUCGGGGGCUCAACCCUGGAAUGCGGGUGGAUACUGCCGGGCUAGAGUCCGGAAGAGGCGAGUGGAAUUCCUGGUGUAGCGGUGGAAUGCGCAGAUAUCAGGAGGAACACCAAUAGCGAAGGCAGCUCGCUGGGACGGUACUGACGCUAAGGCGCGAAAGCGUGGGGAGCAAACAGG
RNAcentral lists this ribosomal RNA (253 nucleotides) under uncultured bacterium. Its description in RNAcentral is "partial 16S ribosomal RNA". It matches the Rfam family "Bacterial small subunit ribosomal RNA", at positions 524 to 776 of the family's 1533-position model. The record is from RNAcentral.